RNAcentral lists this ribosomal RNA (465 nucleotides) under uncultured beta proteobacterium. Its description in RNAcentral is "bacterial SSU rRNA". It matches the Rfam family "Bacterial small subunit ribosomal RNA", at positions 198 to 644 of the family's 1533-position model. Lineage: Bacteria; Pseudomonadati; Pseudomonadota; Betaproteobacteria. The record is from RNAcentral.
GGAGGAAAGUAGGGGAUCGCAAGACCUUGCGCUCUUGGAGCGGCCGAUGUCUGAUUAGCUAGUUGGUGAGGUAAAGGUUUACCAAGGCGACGAUCAGUAGCUGGUCUGAGAGGACGACCAGCCACACUGGGACUGAGACACGGCCCAGACUCCUACGGGAGGCAGCAGUGGGGAAUUUUGGACAAUGGGGGAAACCCUGAUCCAGCCAUGCCGCGUGAGUGAAGAAGGCCUUCGGGUUGUAAAGCUCUUUCAGCCGGAACGAAACGGUCACAGCUAAUACCUGUGACUACUGACGGUACCGGAAGAAGAAGCACCGGCUAACUACGUGCCAGCAGCCGCGGUAAUACGUAGGGUGCAAGCGUUAAUCGGAAUUACUGGGCGUAAAGCGUGCGCAGGCGGUUUUGUAAGUCAGAUGUGAAAUCCCCGGGCUUAACCUGGGAACUGCGUUUGAAACUACAAAGCUAG